UCAGUUCGGAUUGGGCUCUGCCCCUCGACCCCAUGAAGUCGGAGUCGCUAGUAAUCGCACAUCCGCAUUGCUGCGGUGAAUACGUUCCCGGGCCUUGUACACAGCGCCCGGCACGUCAGGAAAGUCGGUAACACCCGAAGCCGGUGGCCCACCCCCUUGUGGGAGGGAGCUGCGGAAGGUGGGACUGGCGAUUGGAAUGAAGUCCUAACAAGGUAGCCGUACCGGAAGGUGCGGAUGGAUCACCUCCU
This 248-nucleotide ribosomal RNA is filed under the name Streptomyces sp. AEFO5. RNAcentral describes it as "partial 16S ribosomal RNA". It matches the Rfam family "Bacterial small subunit ribosomal RNA", at positions 1288 to 1531 of the family's 1533-position model. The record is from RNAcentral. Lineage: Bacteria; Bacillati; Actinomycetota; Actinomycetes; Kitasatosporales; Streptomycetaceae.